GGGGGUGCUCUGGUUUCGACAGGGCUGCUGAAGCGUGAGUUGCGUGCCGAGGGUCUGGCUGGCCUCGUAAAAAAGCCGGAAAACAAUAAGUGCUAACGAAGAUUACGCACUCGCUGCUUAAUUUAUAGCAACGCUGGAACUGAAUCCUCUCCCACGGGGUUGAGAUCUCCAGUCGCAAUGUGGGAUAGGACGGCAUCAUGCUCUGGGGCGUUGUCCGAAAUUUUACAGAGCUGGCUGGAACCUGCGCCGACCUUCUAGGGCGUAGGGACCGGCGAGAUCUUAAAUACGAAGGGAACGCACGUAGGAAUGAACGGGGACGUGGUUUUGGACAGGAGUUCGACUCUCCUCACCUCCAUC
This 357-nucleotide transfer-messenger RNA is filed under the name uncultured Fibrobacter sp. It matches the Rfam family "transfer-messenger RNA". Rfam says of the family: Bacterial tmRNA, also known as 10Sa RNA or SsrA, is named for its dual tRNA and mRNA-like properties. Its role is to liberate the mRNA from a stalled ribosome. The record is from RNAcentral. Lineage: Bacteria; Pseudomonadati; Fibrobacterota; Fibrobacteria; Fibrobacterales; Fibrobacteraceae.